UACGUAGGAAGCAAGCGUUGUUCGGAAUUACUGGGCGUAAAGAGCGUGUAGGUGGUGUCGUAAGUUUGGUGUGAAAUCUCCCGGCUUAACUGGGAGGGUGCGCCGAAGACUGCGAUGCUGGAGUAUGGGAGAGGAAAGCGGAAUUCCUGGUGUAGCGGUGAAAUGCGUAGAUAUCAGGAGGAACACCUGCGGUGUAGACGGCUUUCUGGACCAUUACUGACACUGAGACACGAAAGCGUGGGGAGCAAACAGG
This 253-nucleotide ribosomal RNA is filed under the name uncultured bacterium. RNAcentral's name for it is "partial 16S ribosomal RNA". It matches the Rfam family "Bacterial small subunit ribosomal RNA", at positions 524 to 776 of the family's 1533-position model. The record is from RNAcentral.